This 468-nucleotide ribosomal RNA is filed under the name uncultured bacterium. RNAcentral's name for it is "partial 16S ribosomal RNA". It matches the Rfam family "Bacterial small subunit ribosomal RNA", at positions 28 to 507 of the family's 1533-position model. The record is from RNAcentral.
GACGAACGCUGGCGGCGUGCUUAACACAUGCAAGUCGAACGGAAAGGCCCUGCUUUUGUUGGUUUCUCGAGUGGCGAACGGGUGAGUAACACGUGAGUAACCUGCCCAUGACUUUGGGAUAACUUCAGGAAACUGGGGCUCAUACCGGAUAUGAGCUCCUGCUGCAUGUUGGUGGUUGGAAAGUUUCGGCGGUUGGGGAUGGACUCGCGGCUUAUCCGCUUGUUGGUGUGGUAGUUGCUUUCCAAGGCUUUGACGGGUAGCCGGCCUGAGAGGGUUACCGGCGACAUGGGGACUGAGAGACGGACCAGAAGCCUACGGGAGGCAGCAGUGGGGAAUAUUGCGGAAUGGGGGGAAGCCAGAUGCAGCAACGCCGCGUGCGGGAUAACGGGCUUCGGGUGGUAAACAGAUGUCGCCUGUGACGAAGAGUGAGUGACGGUAAUGGGUAAAGAAGCAACGGCUAACUACGUG